Molecule: long non-coding RNA, 354 nt
Organism: Epinephelus fuscoguttatus (brown-marbled grouper)
Lineage: Eukaryota; Metazoa; Chordata; Actinopteri; Perciformes; Serranidae
Exons: 3
Source: RefSeq, a predicted model, not a curated record
CUGUGCUAUCCCUGCUAUGACAAGCCCAACUGUCCGUUGUGAAAGUUAUGGCAUAGCUGGUUAGCUCGAAGCUAGCGCCGGGCUCUUUGUAGUUUGUUGCAGCUGGUUGCUAGGAGACGGCGGUCCCCUCCUUCACUGACAAAGAUCGUCUAUUCUCCCAAAGAUGAUUCAUCAGGCUGGAGCUGACAUAGCUGUGGUUUCACCCCAAAGGAGGCAACCAACUGUACUGCAUGAGGCCGAGGCACGGAAACGGACUUCAGAUCUGCAUGCAAGACAUUUUUACUCUCAACAAAUAAGUGGCUAACACACUCUUUUUGUCUUAAAAAGUUCAAAGUUUUGCAUGCAUUCAAACCA